NNNNGUGGCCAGACCACCCUGAAUGCACCCAAUCUCAUGGGAUCUCAGAAUCUAAGCAAGGUCGAGCCUGGUUAGUACGUGGCGGGGAAAACUGCAUUUCCCUGGCUUCAUUUACU
This is a ribosomal RNA of Cavia aperea (Brazilian guinea pig), 116 nucleotides long. Lineage: Eukaryota; Metazoa; Chordata; Mammalia; Rodentia; Caviidae. The record is from Ensembl.